ACACGUAGGGGGCGAGCGUUGUUCGGAAUCAUUGGGCGUAAAGGGCGUGCAGGCGGUCCUGCAAGUCCGGCGUGAAAGACCCCGGCCCAACCGGGGGGACGCGCUGGAAACUGCGGGGCUUGAGUACAGGAGGGGAUGACGGAAUUCCAGGGGUAGGGGUGAAAUCUGUAGAUCUCGGGAAGAACACCAAUGGCGAAGGCAGGCAUCUGGACAUGUACUGACGCUGCGACGCGAAGCGGCGGGGAGCAAGCAGGUUUCGAUACCCUGGUCGUCCGCACAGUAAACGAUGUGCACCAGGUGGCGGGGGGUCGCCCAUCGGUACCGUAGCUAACGCAUUAAGUGCACCGCCUGGGGAGUAUGCUCGCAAGGGUGAAGCUCAAAGGAAUUGACGGGG
This 394-nucleotide ribosomal RNA is filed under the name uncultured bacterium. RNAcentral describes it as "partial 16S ribosomal RNA". It matches the Rfam family "Bacterial small subunit ribosomal RNA", at positions 523 to 918 of the family's 1533-position model. The record is from RNAcentral.